CUCCAGCUGAAGAGUCCCAAAUAGGACGAAACGCGCGUCCUGGAU
Molecule: non-coding RNA, 45 nt
Filed under: Schistosoma haematobium
Lineage: Eukaryota; Metazoa; Platyhelminthes; Trematoda; Strigeidida; Schistosomatidae
Also listed under: 1 other name
Source: RNAcentral